UGUUCAUUGGUUAAACAAAAAUAAGGUUUUAAGCAAAAACUGGAGUUUGCUUUUAUAGGUUCAGAUGGAUGCUCUGAGUGUGGUGUUUGUGGUACAUAGUGCAGUACUUGUGUGGUGUACUAAUUGGCUGCAUUUCUUGUCAGAAUGGCUGCUGUAGAAAAGACCUCAAGUGAGGGGGUACAUCGUAGACUACAUCUGCUGGAAUCAUUUCCAGCAGGAUGCCCUCAAUCCCGCAGCUUCAGAUUUCCCACACAGGCAGUGGGACCGAGCUUACGACCGACUGAUGUUGAAUUGAAACAAAGCUCUUCCACCUGGGCUUUUUCCUCACUUGGUCACGUCCUAACAUCAAAGAUGCUGUGUUUAAUGCAACACUGUUAUUUCCACAUGUUUAUUUUCCAUUUAUGUUCACCUAAUGUGAUAAUUGCUUUGGCUACAUUCCAACAAGUUUAUAGCAGCAACUUGUAAAAGCCUGAUUUGUUUUAGAACAUCUGUUCCCUUGUAAAUGUGUCUCAAUGAUGUCCCUCACGCAGGAAAAAUAAAUUGAUCUACUAAUUUUC
Molecule: long non-coding RNA, 557 nt
Organism: Mugil cephalus (flathead mullet)
Lineage: Eukaryota; Metazoa; Chordata; Actinopteri; Mugiliformes; Mugilidae
Exons: 2
Source: RefSeq, a predicted model, not a curated record